AAAGUUGGUGGUUUGCAGAAAAUUUUGGCUGCUUUGGACUUUCACGUAUUCCAGUUUUGCUACAUGAUUUUUUCAACCUUUGCUACAGUAACACUAUUCCAGUUUUGCCUAUAAAUUGCUAGGAUUCGCAGCAGUUUAAAAACACACCAAAGCAGAAAAUACUUCUUUCUGUUAGAGAGAGCAAGAGUAAGUUGAAGUAAAAUCUCAAAUACGAGAGUUUGAGGGUUUGAGACAAAAGCUUAGUUAGAAGCUUUUGGUGUGAGAAAAUUAGAUAGAAAUUUUCUCGGGGUAUAACGGGUUGUGAGUUGAGUGUUGUGAGUGUUGUAAACACUGUAUUUUUUUUCUCCCUUUGUUAAAUAGAAGUGCAGCAAGAGGUGUGAGGCAAGAGAGAGUUUAGAAGAAUUUUUUUUAAAUUUCUUACUUGCAAGAGCUCAAGUGAGCUCCCUUCGCCGGGCUGUUUCUUCGCCGACCGGCCACUAGGCUCUGAACCGAGAACGUGUACUCGUUCCUCCAUCUUCAGGCUACCAAACCCAACAAUCGAAAUGCCGAAGCCUUCUCUAUAUUUUCCUGACCAAAGGCCGCAAUAUCCUUCGGCGGCCAACGUCGAAUUCCCGACUUAGCCACCGGCCAACUUACGGCCUUCGUUUCUCACUAUCCUUACGACGAAAAAGGAUCGAGAAACCACCGUUGUGUAGCCUGAUCUACCUCGCACGAGGAAAACUAAGUAGUAGACCUUCGCGGCUAAACACCAUCGCGGAACGACGACCGGAAAACCCCCGACGGACAACUUCCAUUAGUGCUCACUUGGACAAGGGUUCAAAUAAACAAAAGCGUCUGAGUAACCUAUCGCGCUAAGGAAAGAGAAUCAUUGUCUUAAGUAGCAAAACACUGCAAUCAGGUUGAGCUGAUGUGAUGAUGGUGCUGCAAUGAGCGGAGUCUCCAGGGUUGUUAAUAAAUAGUUAACCUGUCUAGAAUAUGUCUUCAUACAUAUGUCUAGCUACUUUCCGCUGCAAGAUGUUGUUGAUGUUAUAGUAUGUUAUGUCAUACUUUGAGUCUUAAGAGAAUGGUUUCAUAUGAUGUAUAACUUGAUUAAUGAUAUUAAUUAAGUUUUAUGCUGUCUUUCAUAGACUAUUUUUCAAUUGAGUAUUCAUGAAUAAAAAUGACGAGUUUUAUUAAGAUGAGUAAGUUUUACGGCUAUAAAUGACGCCCCUUUUCUUCCCCUUCUUCUUUAACCCCAUCCCUAGUCGUAGAUCACUCGGCUUAACUAUCCUUAGUUAGGGCGGGCUGUGACAAAGUGGUAUCAGAGCGAAGGAAAGCUCUGAAUUAUAAGUCUUGAGUUUAGUCUAGAAUGAGUCACUAGACUAAUAGUUAUUAACAACCGUGAGCUCAGCGCACCAUCACACCAGACUCAACGAGGUAUGUAAAAUUUCAAAGUUUAUUUGACAUUAAAUUUUGAAGAGCAUGAUGUUGAGGUUAUAUGAUGAGUUAUGAUGUUACACUUUGAAGGUGCAUAGUUUGAGUUUGAGGAUGACAACAUGAUUAAUAAUGAGUUAUUAUGUUGUAAGAGCAUAUGUUGACGUUACAUGAUGAAUCAUGAGAGCGUUUAUAUCAUAUGAUGUUAUAUGAUUGAGGAUGCAUAAUUAUGAGUUAUGAUGUGAUGUAUUUGAGAUGUUUUGUGAUGAGAAUUGUUUGAGCAAUUGUGAUAAGUCACGAUGAUUUAGAUGAAGGAAUCUAAUGUCAUUGUUA
Long non-coding RNA from Salvia miltiorrhiza (redroot sage), 1746 nucleotides. RefSeq lists it as uncharacterized. The record is from RefSeq and is a predicted model, not a curated record. The transcript has 3 exons. NCBI's taxonomy places the organism in Eukaryota, Viridiplantae, Streptophyta, Magnoliopsida, Lamiales, Lamiaceae.